This 497-nucleotide ribosomal RNA is filed under the name uncultured bacterium. RNAcentral's name for it is "bacterial SSU rRNA". It matches the Rfam family "Bacterial small subunit ribosomal RNA", at positions 28 to 524 of the family's 1533-position model. The record is from RNAcentral.
GAUGAACGCUAGCGGCAGGCCUAACACAUGCAAGUCGAGGGGUAGAAGGAGCUUGCUCCUUUGAGACCGGCGCACGGGUGCGUAACGCGUAUGCAAUCUACCUUGUACAGGGGAAUAGCCCAGAGAAAUUUGGAUUAAUGCCCCAUAGUAUAUAACCUUCGCAUGUUGGUUAUAUUAAAGUUCCAACGGUACAAGAUGAGCAUGCGUCCCAUUAGUUAGUUGGUAAGGUAACGGCUUACCAAGACGAUGAUGGGUAGGGGUCCUGAGAGGGAGAUCCCCCACACUGGUACUGAGACACGGACCAGACUCCUACGGGAGGCAGCAGUGAGGAAUAUUGGUCAAUGGUCGCAAGACUGAACCAGCCAUGCCGCGUGCAGGAAGACGGUCCUAUGGAUUGUAAACUGCUUUUAUACAGGAAGAAACCCUCCCACGUGUGGGAGCUUGACGGUACUGUAGGAAUAAGGAUCGGCUAACUCCGUGCCAGCAGCCGCGGUAAU